This 362-nucleotide unclassified non-coding RNA is filed under the name soil metagenome. Its description in RNAcentral is "partial contains 5.8S ribosomal RNA, internal transcribed spacer 2, and large subunit ribosomal RNA". The stretch from base 1 to 122 matches the Rfam family "5.8S ribosomal RNA", at positions 35 to 154 of the family's 154-position model. The record is from RNAcentral.
GAUGAAGAACGUAGCGAAAUGCGAUACGUAAUGUGAAUUGCAGAUCUCUCAGUGAACCAUCGAAUCUUUGAACGCACAUUGCGCCCGCCAGUAUUCUGGCGGGCAUGCCUGUCCGAGCGUCAUUUCAACCCUCGGGCCCCCCUCUGCGGGCGGCCCGGCGUUGGGGCUCAGGCGCCGUCUCUGCUCGGCGCCUGUCCCCUAAAUGCAGUGGCGGCCUCGCCGCUGCCUCCUCCGCGUAGUAGCACAAACCUCGCGGCUGGAAGGCGGCGCGGCCACGCCGUAAAACCCCCCAACUUUACCAAGGUUGACCUCGGAUCAGGUAGGAAUACCCGCUGAACUUAAGCAUAUCAAUAAGCGGAGGA